This 497-nucleotide ribosomal RNA is filed under the name uncultured bacterium. RNAcentral describes it as "partial 16S ribosomal RNA". It matches the Rfam family "Bacterial small subunit ribosomal RNA", at positions 28 to 507 of the family's 1533-position model. The record is from RNAcentral.
GAUGAACGCUGGCGGCGUGCCUAAUACAUGCAAGUCGAGCGAACAGACGAGGAGCUUGCUCCUCUGACGUUAGCGGCGGACGGGUGAGUAACACGUGGAUAACCUACCUAUAAGACUGGGAUAACUUCGGGAAACCGGACCUAAUACCGGAUAAUAUAUUGAACCGCAUGGUUCAAUAGUGAAAGACGGUUUUGCUGUCACUUAUAGAUGGAUCCGCGCCGCAUUAGCUAGUUGGUAAGGUAACGGCUUACCAAGGCAACGAUGCGUAGCCGACCUGAGAGGGUGAUCGGCCACACUGGAACUGAGACACGGUCCAGACUCCUACGGGAGGCAGCAGUAGGGAAUCUUCCGCAAUGGGCGAAAGCUUGACGGAGCAACGCCGCGUGAGUGAUGAAGGUCUUCGGAUCGUAAAACUCUGUUAUUAGGGAAGAACAAAUGUGUAAGUAACUAUGCACGUCUUGACGGUACCUAAUCAGAAAGCCACGGCUAACUACGUG